Long non-coding RNA from Mirounga angustirostris (Northern elephant seal), 6826 nucleotides. RefSeq lists it as uncharacterized. The transcript has 2 exons. The record is from RefSeq and is a predicted model, not a curated record. NCBI's taxonomy places the organism in Eukaryota, Metazoa, Chordata, Mammalia, Carnivora, Phocidae.
CGCGACGUCCCGGAGAGCCCGGGCUGAGCCAAAACUGGGAGGAGGCUGGGGGCGUUGACUUUCUUCCUGGAGUUGUGGGGGUUUGUGUGGCCCGCGCCGAGGGCUCAGUAUAGGGGCGUCAUUGCAGGGCACCAGUAAACCACCUUGAAUUGCUCGGUGGUGGUCGGCAGCUUUCCUGAGUUCCGGGCUCCCACGAGCCCUGUUUCAAGGGAAACAGUCCUUAGUAAUAGUAGUAGUCGUAAUAGUAGUAGACUUUAGUAUUAAGGGAUCGGGGGUGGAAUCCCGCUGCUUGAGAGGCUGUAUCAUGAAACGUUUAAACUGGAGCUGGGCUACUGGUGGGGAGGAAGUGGGCAUGCACGAACUUCUUGCACUGUGAAGGCGCCCCCACCGCCAAACCAGAGCCUGCGCUUCCACUGGUUCUCCUUCCCCAGAAUUCUCUGGUCCAAACCUGUACUUAUUUUCUUGGUGGAACAAGAAAGCCUGAAGCCUAGAAUCCUGGGUCUGAGAUGAAGGUGCAGAGUACCCAGCCCAGCAGAAUUCUCUCUUCUGGGACUUAGUGCUGAAAGUAAUGACACAGAGAGGAUGAUAUGGAAAGAGCAAAAUCCGUAAGAGCUGGUGUGGAAAGUGAAGACUCCUCCCCAGCUCUGCAAGCAAGGACUUAUCCAGAUAGCUCUCCCAGGACUACAGCCAACUCUUUGUAACACAAGGCCUGCAGGGACCUCUGGAAAUCCAUGAUGAGACUUCUGAUGAGGGUAGGCAGCAGCUCUUCCAGCUAGAGGUGUUCUCUCCCCUGGAUCCCGGCUGGCUGUAUGGUGCCUGAAGAUGUUCCUUAGGGGUAUGGUGAUGCUUCCAGCUGUGAGUUCUUGGAGAACCUUCUCAACCUUGAAUUGGAGCCUAAUUCCCUCCUCUUGAGUAUGAGCUGGACCUAGACCUCGAAUCUAAUAAAUGGAAGAAAGCAGAACUUACAAUGUGUGACUUUGGGGACCAGAUCAUAAAAAGACACCCUCUUUUGCUCUAUCCUGGAUCACUUGCUCUGGGGGAAGCCAGAUGACAUGUUGUAAGUAGCUCUAUGGAAUCCUAUAUAGAGACCCACUUGGAAGAAACUGAGGCCUCCUGCCAACAGCCACGUCAGUGAACUUGGAAGCAAAUCCUUCAGGCCCUUUCAAGCCUUCAAAUGGCUGCAGACCUGGCCAACAUCUUGCCUGCCACCUCAUGAGAGACCCUGACCUACAGCCAUCCAGCUAAGCCUCUCCCAAAUUCCUGAUACAUGGAAACCGAGAUGAUAACUCUUGUUGUUAAGCUACUAAAUUUUGAGGCCAUGUAUUAUACACAGGUAGAAUGAUGGGAAUGGAAAAGAAAGCGAGGGUAAAGCAAUCAUCUGGAAGUAUCUCUUACUUCUGUUUAUUAGAAAUUAUUAUUAUUAUUAUUUUUAAAGAUUUUAUUUAUUUAUUUGACAGAGAGAGAGAGACAGCGAGAGCAGGAACACAAGCAAGGGGAGUGGAAGAGGGAGAAGCAGGCUUCCCGCCGAGCAGGGAGCCCGAUGUGGGACUCGAUCCCAGGACCCUGGGAUCAUGACCUGAGCCGAAGGCAGACGCUUAACGACUGAGCCACCCAGGCGCCCUAUUAGAAAUUAUUUAUACUCUCCCCUUGCAAUGUAAACUUCUUGAGGAGAGGAUCUUUGCCUACCUUUUCACUGGUUUAUCUUUUUUUUUUUUUUAGAUUUUACUUAUUUAUUUGAGAGAGAGAGAGAGAGUGAGCGGUGCAAGCAGAGGGAGGGCAGAUGGAGAGGGAGAGAGAGAAUCUCAAGCAGAUGCCACACUGAGCACGGAGUCCGAAGCAGGGCUCGAUCUCAUGACCCUGAGAUCAUGAUGUGAGCCGAAACCAAGAGUCAGACAUUCAACCAACUGAGCCACCCAGGUGCCCCUUCACUGAUUUAUCUUAAGCUUCUAGUAUAUAACAGACUCUCAGGAUUGGCAGGGAAAAGCCAUGAAAAAGAAGGGGUCAGAUAUCAGUAGGUCUGAUAUGCCAGUAACAGGAGUGAAGUGUAAUUGAAUAGUCAAUUAAAAUAUCUAGAGGGGCGCCUGGGUGGCUCAGUCGGUUAAGCAACUGCCUUCGGCUCAGGUCAUGAUCCUGGAGUCCCGGGAUCGGGUCCCGGGUCAGGCUCCCUGCUCGGCGGGGAGUCUGCUUCUCCCUCUGACCCUCCUCCCUCUCGUGCUCUCUGUCUCUCAUUCUCUCUCGCAAAUAAAUGAAUAAAAUCUUUAAAAAAAUAAAAUAAAAUAAAAUAUCUAGAAAAAGUAACAAGCAGCCAGUUUGAUGUGGAGGCCUAGAGGAGGACUUCUCCACCUCCGCACUGUUAAUAGUUUGGACCAGAUUCUUUUUUGUUGUGAGGAGCAUGGUAAGAUGUUUAGUAGACGUAGUCCUAACCUCUACCCACUAGAAGUCACUAGCACACACACCACCUCCCUGUCCUCCUCUCCCUGCCACCACCCUCCCUCCUCAAAACCAAAAAAUAUCUCUAGACAUUGCCAAGUGUUCCCGGGGAAGGGGAAUCACCCCCCAAUCCCCAGUUGGGGAUCACUGUCCUAGAGGAUAGAAUGACAAUUGAACCCAAGGGAAAGGGGUUGGAUCCCUGAAUCCUGGGGAAAUGCACUUUAAAAAUGAAGAUUGUCAGGGUACCUAGCGGGCUCAGUCAGAAGAGCAUGUGACUCUUGAUCUCUGGGUCAUGAGUUCAAGCCCCACGUUGGGUGCAGAGAUUACUUAUAAAUAGAUAAAUAAACUUUAAAUUUUUAAAAAAAUAAAUAAAUAAAGAGGAGGGCUGUGGGGCACCUCGUGGCUCAGUGAGUUAAGUGUUGGACUCUUGAUCUCAGCUCAGGUCUUGAUCUCAGGGUUGUGAGUUUAAGCCCCGUGUUGGGCCCCACACUGGGUAUGGAGCCUACUUAAAAUUAAAAAAAAAGAAGAAGACUGACAAAAGACAGAAGAGCCAGAAAAGUAAAACCAAAACAAAACAAAAAGGGAUUCAGAAGCCAAUGAAAGCAAGUGGCAGAGUGUUUUAAUGAGGUAGUUGGCAGGACUUGGGAGAGAAUUGUUUUAAUGGAAUCGCGUGACAAAACCCUGUUGCAGUGUGUCUGUGCGUGCUUGUGUACAACUAGGUGAGACAGGUCAUGAAAAAGUAGAUGCAGUCUGGUAGCUAGCAACAAGAAAGCGACCAGGCAAAUAUGGAACAACAUGGUCAAAAGCAGAGAGAAAGAAUCAGAGAGGGUGAGGCUGCAGGGAAAUUGGGAAGAGAGAAAGCAAAGGUGUAUUCCACCGCCAUUCUUCAUUCCUGGAGGGUCUUGAAAAGGACAGAGUAUCAAUCUUUCCCCUUCUCAAGAGGGAAAGAGGAUGUUUGUUGAAGGAAGGAAGAAGGGAACAGAGCCCUAAACAAAUUAAGUUGGAGAAAAGCAUGAAAUGGGAUCUGGACCCUACCCUUAGCUUCCUCAGACUAAUUUCAAGAGAUUGGCUUCCUGGAUUGGGAGCCCUAAGAAUUUUCUCUUGCAGCACCUGGCUGGCUCAACUGGAAGAGUAUGUGACUCUUGAUCUCUGGGUCUCAAGUUUGAGCCCCAUUUGGGGCAUAGAUGUAAAUAAAUAAUACUUUAAAAAAAUAAAAAGUCAAUUUAAAAAAGAAUUUUCUAAACAGUAUGAGACCAUGGCAUUCUUUUAGAACACAGUAGACCACAGAAGGUUCUGGAAAGGAUAUUCCUGUGCAUUUCUACUACUCUUCCAUGAGUUAAGACCCCUGUUUACUCUGAUGUGAAUGAACAAAAGCAAAAACCUCUUUUCACCUCCAGGUUCUCCUCUUCCAAAUCUUAAAACCAUAUAACUCCCUUGCUCAAGAACAUUUAAUACCUCCCUGCCACCUACAGUGUAAGGACCAAAAUUCUUGUUUCAUUUUCAGAGAAAGGGAUUCCUCCCUUUUCUAGGGCUGCUGUAACUAAGUACCAUAAACUGGUUUAUGGUUUCAAACAACAGAAAUCUAUUCUCUCACAACAGAAAUUUAUUCUCUCACAGUUUUGGAAGCUAGAAAUCCAAAAUCGAGGUCCCAGCUGGGCCAUGUUCCCUCUGAGACCCUGAUCAGAAUUUGCUUCUUCCCAGCUUCUGAUGGUGGCCACCAAUCCUUGACAUUCCUUGGCCUGCAGCUGCGUCAUUAUAAUCUCUGUCCUGUCAUCACAUGGCAUUCUCUUUGAGUCUGUCAUUGGGUGUCUGUUUUCCCUUCUUAUAAAGACACCAGCCACUGGGGCACUUGGCUGGCUCAGUCGGUACAGCAUGCCUCUCUUGAUCUUGGGGUCGUGAAUUCAAGUGCCAAGUUGGGCAUAGUGCUUACUUAAAUAAAUAAAUAAACAAACAAGUUCUAUUAGAUUAGGGCCCACUCUAAUUGGGUGUGAGCUCAUCUUAACGGGAUUACAUUUACAAAGACCCUAUUUUCAAAUAAAGUCACAUUCUGAGCUGUUGGGGAUUAGGACUUGAACAUUUCUGGGGACAUUUGCAAAAACUCUCCCUCAGAUACUCUACACUAGAGCCAAAGUGAUCUAAUUAUUACCAUGCUAUGAAUCCUAUGCUUUCCCACCCUCUCCCAGGCCAUCGUCAUGUCUCUAUUUGUCCAUCCUUGAAGGCCCAGAUCAAAUGGCACCUCUUCCCUGAAGGCUUCUUCAAGUGCCUUCCUCUGAUCUUCUAGGGUAUUUCUCACUGUCCCUUCUGCCCUGCAUUUAUUUGUGUUCCUUUCUAAAAUGCUGCUCAACUCAAAGAACUGGAUGGAGGACAAAUUAGAUAAUACACGGGGAAGUUUUGGAAUACUAGAGUGUGCUCAAAUUUUAGCGAGGUGACAAAGAACUUUCACACACUUUAAAACAGCUUUACUGAGGUAGAGCUCACCUACCACAUAAUUCACCUCUUCGAAGAGUGCAAUUCGAAGGCAUCCUAUUAGCAUCAUUACAACCUAAUUUUAGGACAUUUUCAUCACUCCCAAAAGAAACUUCAUAUCCAUUCACUGUCACUUUCUAUUUCCCAACCCCCCUCCCCAGCCCUUCUUCUACAGAUCCGUUUAUUCUGGACAUUUCAUAUAAACCUUCACACAUUUUAAUUUGACUCCCACAAGGACUUCUCUUCAUGGGAAUUUUUUUACAAUGAUCUUUGGGGAUCAACACCCCUAUUUUUCAGGAGUAAACUGACUUGUUGAGGAUGUGUAAAACCUAAACUUGCACAUGGAUUUCGGAUUUGCUGCAUAGAGGAGAUGCUAUCUUUUUUUUUUUUUAGAUUUUAUUUAUUUAUUUGAGAGAGAGACAGACAGAGAUAGUGAGAAGAGAGCAUGAGCAGGGAGGAGAGAAGCAGGCUCCCACGUGGGACUCUAUCCCAGGACCCUGGGAUCAUGACCUGAGCCGAAGGCAGAUGCUUAACGGACUGAGCCACCCAGGUGUCCCAGAGGAGCUGCUAUCUUGAGCUCCGGAGUGGGAAGGCCGCGGUCCUCCAUCCAGCAGCCCCGUUGGAAUCGAAGCUGCGCCGGGAGGAGCUAACCCCAAGCUCCGCGGGGAGAGCCGCCUGGGUUCUCCCCCCUCACUCUGGCCGCUGCAUUGCAAGUGAGAGCAGCCACCAGCCACCUUUUCCUCCAGGCACCGGGGUCACCCGCCCCACUAGGAUCCAGAGAGGCGCGGCGGCAGGUCACUCCUGCAGGCGCCAUUCACACCUCCCCGGUCCCCGAGGCCCAAUCACCUUGCAGCUUGUUUCAGCGUUGUACCGGAAAUGGCCUAUCAACGAGCGCGAUCCUGGGACGGCCCCCAGCUCCAGCGGCGCCCAGAGUCGCGUGCCGCGGCGCCCAGGGCGGCGAGGAGCCGGGAGCCCCAGCCGUGCUUGCUUCAGUAAGGUGAACUUGACCUAGCGAGGAAAGGUCAUCACACGGCUUUGGCGGGAGCCGCGGUGAAGCUGGCAUCGCCAGCUUUGCUACGGGACUUUCUCAGGAUACGGAUCCAAAAUGAGAGGUCCUCCAGGGGCUCAUAAACUUAAGGGGCGGCCUGGGGCUCCGAGUGGGGAGGAACGCAGGACGGGAAGGAGGCGUCCCCAGGCCGACGUGGGUCUAAUUAAGAAGUCGGCAGAAGUCCUAGCCCUACAUACCCACCCCUUCCCAAGCUGCCGUAUUUUUUAAAUGGGGGGGGGGGGGGGCGGGUAAUGACUAAAAAAACAAAACAAAAAGUACAGCAGUGGUGUAUCUUAAAUGCAUUUAGCAUACUGAUGCUUUUAAUACAAAAAUACACUGCAGUGUAAUUUUGCUAUUCACAAAAUAACUAUAAGAGAAAAAUAAUACAUAAGGUAAGGUCUAGUAAUAGUUUCUGGGUCCAGACUACUUGUUUGAAGAUAAAAAUCAAAAGUUUACAUUCUAGGGGCGCCUGGGUGGCUCAGUCAGUUAAGCGGCUGCCUUCGGCUCAGGUCAUGAUCCCAGGGACCUGGGAUCCAGUCCCGCAUUGGGCUCUCUGCUCAGCGGGGAGUUUGUUUCCUCUCCCUCUGCCCCUGCCCCUACCCCUGCUCUGCUCUCUCGCUCACUCUCUCUCAAAUAAAUAAAUAAAAUCUUAAAAAAAAAAAAAAGUUUACAUUUCAGUUUCCUGAAAAUAAGGCCUGGGGCCAAAGACCCUCUGCCUCCGACCAGCCUAGGCCAUGCUUCUGAAGCCCCAAAGCUGUGGGUCCCAGAGGUAGCACAUUCAGUACCUCCAAGUGGUUAAGUGCUUGGGCACUGAUAUUAGACAGACUUGAAUUCUGAUCCUGAUUCUCUUACAUGUGGUGUGGGCUUGGGCAAACCAGUUAA